AAAAUUGGGGUGGGACAAGACAUGCGAGUCGAGCGUCUCUAGCUAUGUUGAGACGCGGCAUACGGCUCAGUACCACUUGGCUAACCCACCCUCAGGACGGGGACAAACCCGGGAAACUGGGGCUAAUAUCCGAUAGGCGAGGAAUCCUGGAAUGUUUCUUCACCCAAAGGACAUUGGAAACAUGCUUUCUCUGUCGCCUGGGGAUGGGGCCGCGUCCGAUCAGGUUGUUGGUGAGGUAAUGGCUCACCAAGCCUUUAACCGGUACGGGCCGUGAGAGCGGUAGCCCGGAGAUGGGUACUGAGACAAGGACCCAGGCCCUACGGGGCGCAGCAGUCGCGAAAACUCCGCAAUGCACGAAAGUGUGACGGGGCUACCCCGAGUGCCGUCCGCUGAGGAUGGCUUUUCCUUGGUGUAACUAGCCGGGGGAAUAAGGAGAGGGCAAGACUGGUGUCAGCCGCCGCGGUAAUACCAGCUCUCCGAGUGGUAGGGAUGAUUAUUGGGCUUAAAGCGUCCGUAGCCGGCUUAGCAAGUUUCCUGUUAAACCCAGCGACUCAAUCGUUGGAUCGCGGGAAAUACUACUAGGCUAGGAGGCGGGAGAGGUCAACGGUACUUCUGGGGUAGGGGUGAAAUCCUAUAAUCCCGGGAGGACCACCAGUGGCGAAGGCUGUUGACUAGAACGCGCUCGACGGUGAGGGACGAAAGCUGGGGGAGCGAACCGGAUUAGAUACCCGGGUAGUCCCAGCUGUAGACGAUGCGAGCUAGGUGUUGGAAUGGCUACGGGCCAUUUCAGUGCCGCAGGGAAGCCAUUAAGCUCGCCGCCUGGGGAGUACGGCCGCAAGGCUGAAACUCAAAUGAAUUGACGG
RNAcentral lists this ribosomal RNA (863 nucleotides) under uncultured archaeon. RNAcentral's name for it is "bacterial SSU rRNA". It matches the Rfam family "Archaeal small subunit ribosomal RNA", at positions 29 to 871 of the family's 1478-position model. The record is from RNAcentral.